RNAcentral lists this ribosomal RNA (253 nucleotides) under uncultured bacterium. RNAcentral describes it as "partial 16S ribosomal RNA". It matches the Rfam family "Bacterial small subunit ribosomal RNA", at positions 524 to 776 of the family's 1533-position model. The record is from RNAcentral.
GACAGAGGGUGCAAACGUUGUUCGGAAUUACUGGGCGUAAAGCGCGUGUAGGCGGCAGGGCAUGUCGGAUGUGAAAUCCCGUGGCUCAACCACGGAAGUGCACCCGAAACUGCCCAGCUCGAGUCCGGAAGAGGUGAGUGGAAUUCCUAGUGUAGAGGUGAAAUUCGUAGAUAUUAGGAAGAACACCAGUGGCGAAGGCGGCUCACUGGUCCGGUACUGACGCUGAGGUGCGAAAGCGUGGGGAGCAAACAGG